CCUACGGGAGGCAGCAGUAGGGAAUAUUGCUCAAUGGGGGAAACCCUGAAGCAGCAACGCCGCGUGCAGGAUGAAGGUUUUAGGAUUGUAAAAUCCUUUUUUGAGAGAAGAUAAUGACGGUAUCUCACGAAUAAGCACCAGCCAAAUCCGUGCCAGCAGCCGUGGUAAAACGGAGGGUGCAAGCGUUACUCGGAAUCAAUGAGCGUAAAGAGUGCGCAGGCCGGCUUGUAGGUCAGAUGUGAAAUCCUGUAGCUUAACUACAGAACUGCAUUUGAAACUAUGAGUCUAGAGUGUGGUAGCGGUAGGUGGAAUGCUUGGUGUAGUGGUAAAAUCCGUAGAUAUCAAGAGGAAUACUCAUUGCGAAGGCGACCUACUGGAACAUUACUGACGCUCAUGCACGAAAGCGUGGGGAGCAAACAGGAUUAGAUACCCCUGUAGUC
Molecule: ribosomal RNA, 440 nt
Filed under: uncultured bacterium
Lineage: Bacteria
Description: partial 16S ribosomal RNA
Rfam family: Bacterial small subunit ribosomal RNA
Source: RNAcentral